Molecule: RNA transcript, 1160 nt
Organism: Callorhinchus milii (elephant shark)
Lineage: Eukaryota; Metazoa; Chordata; Chondrichthyes; Chimaeriformes; Callorhinchidae
Gene: rps19bp1
Gene name: ribosomal protein S19 binding protein 1
Exons: 5
Source: RefSeq, marked provisional
CUGUGUGUGACCAGUGGGCGGCGCUGUGUGUGACCAGUGGGCGGCGCUGGUGAGGUUCGGGCCUACAGUAGGAUGUCGGCGUCGCUGGUGAGGAAAGGCCUGGAGCUGCUGGGCCAGGAAACCAGGGGUAAAAGUGACAUGACGGUGAAGAGGAAGGUGGCGUGUGGCCGGACUGGGACUGACCGCACCGGCCUGAGGACCACAGGCAAGAGAGGAGUCAAGAAGCAGCGGCAGAGGCUUCAUGCACAAAAGAAAAAGGUCAAAUCCACUGUGAAGGGGAAGGCGGUGAAGUCAGCCCUCGAGGAGUAUCGGAAACGACAGGGUACGGACCACACUGAAGACAAUCUCCGGUACAUGCUGGGCGUGAGCUCACAGACUGAGAGCAGCAUCACCAGACAGAUUCUCAAUUACAAUCGAGGGAGGAAAGCGAGAGACCUUCCGGAAGAGGAGAAAGCAAAGAAGGAAGAAAAGAGUGUUUUCUCAGAGAAAGACUUCAGGACAUUUGAGAAAGAAUAUUUUGGAAAUCCGCAAUAACUUGGGAGUCUCAGUGGCUGGAGCGAAUGUUGAACAAGAGCAAACGUGCCCAUGAGCCGCAGAUUUAAUUGAAGAAACAAAUGGGCCUUACAGAUUGCUGUGAAUUAUGAGACACAAAAAUGUUAAUUGUGCAAUACAGGAAGAUUAAAUGGCGUAAAGCAGAAGGGAGCACCUCGACAAGGCUACGACCAGGUGGUACAGACAGGGGAAGAGAACUGCAAUCCUCACUUUGUAUAAAUGUCGUAACUGGGAAUGGUUUGGGAAAUUAUCACAUCUUCAUCUCCACUGCACACAUCACGGUGUGUGGGCUGCAGAAAGGUGCUCUUACAGAUGUUCCAUGAAUGGUUUAUUGAACUAAUGAAUUUAUCUGCUUAGGACAGAAUGAGAACAGGUAUUCUGAAUGGCUUCCCUCUCCCCGACUUGUCGUUACUCCCCCACUGCGAAGCUCUCCUGGGAGCCACCCCGCGUGAAGGGCGCUGUAUAAAUGGAAGCUGUUGUUGAAUCAAAUGACUUUGUGCAGGUUAUGUUGCAAAACCCUCCAGGAAUAAGUAAUCAACUACUGAUUGACAUUUUCAAUGUUUUAUUACAAAUAACAUUAAAAACAAGUACUACAACAUAUACAAACA